CCUACGGGAGGCAGCAGUGGGGAAUAUUGGGCAAUGGGCGCAAGCCUGACCCAGCAACGCCGCGUGAAGGAAGAAGGCUUUCGGGUUGUAAACUUCUUUUGUCGGGGAACAAAGGCGGAGACGCGUCUCCGGAUGAGUGUACCCGAAGAAAAAGCAUCGGCUAACUGCGUGCCAGCAGCCGCGGUAAUACGGAGGAUGCGAGCGUUCUCCGGAUCUAUUGGGUUUAAAGGGUGCGCAGGCGGGAGAUCAAGUCAGCGGUAAAAUGUCGGGGCUCAACCCCGGCCGGCCGUUGAAACUGGUUAUCUAGAGUUGGAGAGAGGUAUGCGGAAUUCGUGGUGUAGCGGUGAAAUGCAUAGAUAUCACGAAGAACUCCGAUUGCGAAGGCAGCAUACCGGCUCCAUACUGACGCUGAGGCACGAAAGCGUGGGGAUCGAACAGGAUUAGAUACCCCAGUAGUC
RNAcentral lists this ribosomal RNA (458 nucleotides) under uncultured bacterium. RNAcentral describes it as "partial 16S ribosomal RNA". It matches the Rfam family "Bacterial small subunit ribosomal RNA", at positions 338 to 795 of the family's 1533-position model. The record is from RNAcentral.